UAUGUGAUCGUCUCUCGCAUAUCAAUAAGCGGAGGAAAAGAAACUAACAAGGAUUCCCCUAGUAACGGCGAGUGUAAGCGGGAAGAGCUCAAAUUUGAAAUCUUAAAGGGUUUCCCUUUACGAAUUGUAGUUUAAAGAAGUGUUUUCUGUUGAGGUUUUGGUAAAAGUUCUUUGGAAUAGGACAUCAUAGAGGGUGAGAAUCCCGUAUUUGACCUUUACUUUCAACUUUGUGAUACACUUUCAAAGAGUCGGAUUGUUUGGGAAUGCAGUCCAAAAUGGGUGGUAAAUUUCAUCUAAAGCUAAAUAUUGGCGAGAGACCGAUAGCGAACAAGUACCGUGAGGGAAAGAUGAAAAGAACUUUGAAAAGAGAGUUAAACAGUACGUGAAAUUGUCAAAAGGGAAGCGUUUGACACCAGUGUUGUUUUUCUGAAAAUCAAUUAAAGAACUGUUUAUGCUAAGUUGUUUAGACUUUAUCAGCUAAUCUGCUUAGUUUUGAGCUUUUCUUUAAUGCACUUUUCAGUUAACAAGUCAACAUCAAUUUCCUUUUGCUGUAAAAAAGCUUGAGGAAGGUGGCUUGAGAUUCGUCUUAAGUGUUUAUAGCCUCUUGCCUAUGCAGUCGGAGAGAUUGAGGUCUGCAGCGUAGAUCCUUCGGGGCUAAAUGCAUUUGUGCUAAGUUAUAGCAUUUUAUAGACAACUUGUUGACUAUGAUUUGUCUUGUAGCUUACUCGCUUAUGUUAUUUUACCUACGCUUAGGAUGUUGACACACGCGCGUGCUCG
RNAcentral lists this ribosomal RNA (777 nucleotides) under uncultured Neocallimastigales. Its description in RNAcentral is "partial large subunit ribosomal RNA". It matches the Rfam family "Eukaryotic large subunit ribosomal RNA", at positions 24 to 656 of the family's 3401-position model. Lineage: Eukaryota; Fungi; Neocallimastigomycota; Neocallimastigomycetes; Neocallimastigales. The record is from RNAcentral.